Molecule: transfer RNA, 65 nt
Filed under: Cucujus haematodes
Lineage: Eukaryota; Metazoa; Arthropoda; Insecta; Coleoptera; Cucujidae
Description: tRNA-Asp
Source: RNAcentral
GAAAAUUUAGUUAAAAUCAUAACAUUAAUUUGUCAAAUUAAAAUUAUUUAAAUAAAUAAUUUUCU